UUUUUUAAAAAAAAUUAGUUUCUAACUAAAAUUUGGACAAUUUAAAACAAACAAAAUAAAAAGUUCACAAAUGGUAUAUACAGAAUAUGUAUGCGUCUUGUAGAGCUAGAAGUAAACAUAGAGUCAAGUAUUUAUAAAAAGUAUUGAAUACAACAAAAAUGCAGACAAGUCCCGAAAAGACUGAAAAAGAGAGGCGAAAGAUACCAAAGGAACAUUUAAAUUCAUUUGUCGAAAAUAAACUGACAAUGCCAUGACAAAAAAAACUGACCAAAGGACAAACAACAGUACACAAAACACAACAUAGAUUUUCGUAUUGCAAUUAUUUUAAAAUGAUCUCAGUUCCUUGAACUAUAAAUGAAAGUAUGUUUAAAAGUAGAUAAAUAGAUGCAGUUCUUCUCAAAUCCUAACACUUUGAAAUCAAUUUUCCAUUUGCCCUCUGUUCUGUCACAUAUUUCGUUACAUUGCGAGUCAUACUUUAUGAUGUCAUACUUAUGUCAUUAAUAUUAUUCUUUCAGAUUGAAAUAAGAAUUAUCAAUAAACUUGAGUCUUAUGUUAAUGGUUUUCAUCUAUUUC
RNAcentral lists this long non-coding RNA (573 nucleotides) under Mytilus galloprovincialis (Mediterranean mussel). The record is from RNAcentral. Lineage: Eukaryota; Metazoa; Mollusca; Bivalvia; Mytilida; Mytilidae.